UUGCUCCUUGAUUCAGCGGCGGACGGGUGAGUAAUGCCUAGGAAUCUGCCUGGUAGUGGGGGACAACGUUUCGAAAGGAACGCUAAUACCGCAUACGUCCUACGGGAGAAAGCAGGGGACCUUCGGGCCUUGCGCUAUCAGAUGAGCCUAGGUCGGAUUAGCUAGUAGGUGAGGUAAUGGCUCACCUAGGCGACGAUCCGUAACUGGUCUGAGAGGAUGAUCAGUCACACUGGAACUGAGACACGGUCCAGACUCCUACGGGAGGCAGCAGUGGGGAAUAUUGGACAAUGGGCGAAAGCCUGAUCCAGCCAUGCCGCGUGUGUGAAGAAGGUCUUCGGAUUGUAAAGCACUUUAAGUUGGGAGGAAGGGCAGUAAGCUAAUACCUUGCUGUUUUGACGUUACCGACAGAAUAAGCACCGGCUAACUCUGUGCCAGCAGCCGCGGUAAUACAGAGGGUGCAAGCGUUAAUCGGAAUUACUGGGCGUAAAGCGCGCGUAGGUGGUUCGUUAAGUUGGAUGUGAAAGCCCCGGGCUCAACCUGGGAACUGCAUCCAAAACUGGCGAGCUAGAGUAUGGUAGAG
This 580-nucleotide ribosomal RNA is filed under the name Pseudomonas sp. LIPOA/UEL_62. RNAcentral describes it as "bacterial SSU rRNA". It matches the Rfam family "Bacterial small subunit ribosomal RNA", at positions 80 to 656 of the family's 1533-position model. Lineage: Bacteria; Pseudomonadati; Pseudomonadota; Gammaproteobacteria; Pseudomonadales; Pseudomonadaceae. The record is from RNAcentral.